Molecule: ribosomal RNA, 381 nt
Filed under: uncultured bacterium
Lineage: Bacteria
Description: bacterial SSU rRNA
Rfam family: Bacterial small subunit ribosomal RNA
Source: RNAcentral
AUUGAACGCUGGCGGCAUGCCUUACACAUGCAAGUCGAGCGCGAAAGGGGGCAACCCCGAGUAGAGCGGCGGACGGGUGAGUAACGCAUCGGAACGUGCCCAGUAGUGGGGGACAACCUCGAGAAAUCGAGGCUAAUACCGCAUACGACCCACGGGUGAAAGCGGGGGACCGCAAGGCCUCGCGCUAUUGGAGCGGCCGAUGUCCGAUUAGCUAGUUGGCGGGGUAAGAGCCCCACCAAGGCGACGAUCGGUAGCUGGUCUGAGAGGACGACCAGCCACACUGGGACUGAGACACGGCCCAGACUCCUACGGGAGGCAGCAGUGGGGAAUUUUGGACAAAUGGGGGCAACCCUGAUCCAGCCAUGCCGCGUGCGGGAAGAA